Molecule: ribosomal RNA, 410 nt
Filed under: uncultured prokaryote
Description: bacterial SSU rRNA
Rfam family: Bacterial small subunit ribosomal RNA
Source: RNAcentral
UCGAGAAUCUUCGGCAAUGGGCGCAAGCCUGACCGAGCGACGCCGCGUGGAGGAUGAAGGCCUUCGGGUUGUAAACUCCUGUCGAGGGGGAGGAAGGCGCAAGCUUGACCGAUCCCUGGAGGAAGCACGGGCUCAGUUCGUGCCAGCAGCCGCGGUAAGACGAACCGUGCGAACGUUAUUCGGAAUCACUGGGCUUAAAGCGCGUGUAGGCGGGCUGCCACGUCGGCUGCUGAAAUCCCCCGGCUCAACCGGGGAACGGGCACCGAUACGAGCAGCCUUGAGGGGGGUAGGGGGAGCUGGAACUUCCGGUGGAGCGGUGAAAUGCGUUGAGAUCGGAAGGAACGCCCGUGGCGAAAGCGAGGUCCUGGACCCUUUCUGACGCUGAGACGCGAAAGCCAGGGGAGCGAACG